GACGGGGCCCGGCACAAGCGGUGGAGCAUGUGGUUUAAUUCGACGCAACGCGAAGAACCUUACCUGGGCUUGACAUCCCGAUCGCACCUUAUGGAAACAUAGGGGUCAGUUCGGCUGGAUCGGUGACAGGUGCUGCAUGGCUGUCGUCAGCUCGUGUCGUGAGAUGUUGGGUUAAGUCCCGCAACGAGCGCAACCCUUGUCCUUAGUUGCCAGCAUUCAGUUGGGCACUCUAAGGAGACUGCCGGUGUCAAACCGGAGGAAGGUGGGGAUGACGUCAAGUCCUCAUGGCCCUUAUGUCCAGGGCUACACACGUGCUACAAUGGCCGGUACAAAGGGGCGCAAGACCGCGAGGUGGAGCAAAUCCCAAAAAACCGGUCUCAGUUCGGAUUGGAGUCUGCAACUCGACUCCAUGAAGUUGGAAUCGCUAGUAAUCGCGUAUCAGCAUGACGCGGUGAAUACGUUCCCGGGCCUU
RNAcentral lists this ribosomal RNA (472 nucleotides) under uncultured Desulfuromonas sp. RNAcentral's name for it is "bacterial SSU rRNA". It matches the Rfam family "Bacterial small subunit ribosomal RNA", at positions 916 to 1381 of the family's 1533-position model. Lineage: Bacteria; Pseudomonadati; Thermodesulfobacteriota; Desulfuromonadia; Desulfuromonadales; Desulfuromonadaceae. The record is from RNAcentral.